This 1550-nucleotide long non-coding RNA is filed under the name Felis catus (domestic cat). RNAcentral describes it as "lncRNA (ENSFCAG00000052774.1)". Lineage: Eukaryota; Metazoa; Chordata; Mammalia; Carnivora; Felidae. The record is from RNAcentral.
CUUCUAAUAUAUACAGACUCAUUGCUAGACCCUUGAGAUAUUAAGGUAUGUAAGACAGUAUUUCUACCUAUGUGAAGGAGAGCAUCUAGGAAAGAAGACAAGCAUAUAAAUAUUUUAUGAAAUAAAAUAUUAAUGAUUCAUAAGAAUAAAGGAGAGACAAAAUAGUUAUAUUGGCAAUAGUAGAAGAGGUGUUCUAGGAGAUUCUAUUCAAACUGUGUCUUAAAGUGGUGCCUGCUGUAGACUUCAAAUAUUGCCAAGUCUGUAUGUAACCUUGCUAGUCAAUUCACUCAAUCUCAUAAGAGGAAAACCAACCAAAUUAUAUGGAAGUGAAUGAUACAUUUUCUGGAACUUAAAAAGAGCAUUACAUUUCCCCAGUCGUAAUUACUUUUCCUCUCUCCUCAAAUUGUCCUGCGUAGAUAAGAGUUUUAUCCAGGCAUGAGCAUCCAGGUAGAAACUACAACCGUCAGCCUCCUUUGCCAUGGAAUGCAGGUGGAUGUGUUGUUUGCGGAUUCCACGCUGAUUGCUGAAAGGAUGUUGCCACCCCUCUACUUACCCUCUUCUUGGCCUUCCUAUAGGAUGAAAUCUACAGCAGGGUCCAGCUUUGGCCUGUUUUCUAAAUGGCCUGUGGAACAGUGGCUUCCCCAACCAGGACAUUCAUUUGUACACUAUUGCAGGAGAGACAGAGGGAUUGGAUUACCGUGCAGUCCUUUGCACAGACUACUGCUGUGGCAGAAUGAUCCAGAGACCUAGAAAACCAGGACACGAUUUUGGAAGUCUGCCUCGGGGACAGUGUGCUCCUCCCAGUGAUCCCGUCAGGCGAGUGUUUUCCAGCCACAGCACCUUACCUGCAAUUUCAGAAUGACAGAAGCCCCGAACACUGAAAAUGCUUCAUUAUUCAUUGGAUGACUUCACUGGAACUCCUUUGCAGGCAAAAAUCUGACUUGAAUGGACAUAAAGCAAUGUGUAGACUCUCUUCCAUUUAGUGUGAACAUGAGCAUGAUUCACUAGAGAAAGUAGAUGUUUUUAAAUUUUUUUUUUAACGUUUAUUUAUUUUUGGGACAGAGAGAGACAGAGCAUGAACGGGGGAGGGGCAGAGAGAGAGGGAGACACAGAAUCGGAAACAGGCUCCAGGCUCUGAGCCAUCAGCCCAGAGCCCGAGUAGAUGUUUUUAUAAUGGAGAGCUGUCUCAAAUCCCCUGAAGAUGUUAAUAUGCAUUAUUAGGUUGUUAGAUAAUACAUAAUGUUUGUACUGCAUUCCCUUUUAUUAUUUGAAACUUCUAAAUUGUAUCUUUUUAGGGUGACACAAAUGUUUUAUAAAUGGGGUGCCUGGGUGGCUCAGUUCAGGGACCGACUCUUGAUUUCGGCUCAGGUCAUGAUCUCACAGUUCAUGGGACUGAGUCUGCAUCAGGCUGCCAGCAUAGGGCCUGCUUGGGACUCUCUCUCUCUCUCUCUCUCUCUCUCUCUCUCUCUCCCUCUCUCUCUCUCUCUGCCCCCCCCCCACUCUCUCUUUCUCUAAAUAAAUAAACUUAAAAGCAUGUUUUAUAACUGGAC